RNAcentral lists this transfer RNA (67 nucleotides) under Marmota monax (woodchuck). Its description in RNAcentral is "tRNA.Val". Lineage: Eukaryota; Metazoa; Chordata; Mammalia; Rodentia; Sciuridae. The record is from RNAcentral.
GGAUAUAGCUCAGUCAGUAGAAUGCUGUCUCACAUGCACAAGGUCCUGGGUUCAAUCCCCAGCACCA